UUGUAUAACUGCAGAAGACUUUUCUCC
Molecule: microRNA, 27 nt
Filed under: Rhipicephalus microplus (southern cattle tick)
Lineage: Eukaryota; Metazoa; Arthropoda; Arachnida; Ixodida; Ixodidae
Description: rmi-miR-5318
Source: miRBase by way of RNAcentral